This 690-nucleotide ribosomal RNA is filed under the name uncultured Pseudomonas sp. RNAcentral's name for it is "bacterial SSU rRNA". It matches the Rfam family "Bacterial small subunit ribosomal RNA", at positions 797 to 1488 of the family's 1533-position model. Lineage: Bacteria; Pseudomonadati; Pseudomonadota; Gammaproteobacteria; Pseudomonadales; Pseudomonadaceae. The record is from RNAcentral.
GCGGCUCGUACGAGUCACUAGUUGUUGAGUUCCUUGAGGACUUAGUAACGCAGCUAACGCAUUAAGUUGACCGCCUGGGGAGUACCGCCGCCAGGUUAAAACUCCAAUGAAUUGACGGGGGCCCCCACAAGCGGUGGAGCCUGUGGUUUAAUUCCAAGCCACCCGAAGAACCCUACCUGGCCUUGACCUGCUGAGAACUUUCCAGAGAUAGAUUGGUGCCUUCGGGAACUCAGACACAGGUGCUGCAUGGCUGUCGUCCGCUCGUGUCGUGAGAUGUUGGGUUAAGUCCCGUAACGAGCGCAACCCUUGUCCUUAUUUACCAGCACGUAAUGGUGGGCACUCUAAGGAGACUGCCGGUGACAAACCGGAGGAAGGUGGGGAUGACGUCCAGUCAUCAUGGCCCUUACGGCCAGGGCUACACACGUGCUACAAUGGUUGGUACAACGGGCUGCCAAGUCGCGAGACGGAGCUAAUCCCAUAAAACCAAUCGUAGUCCGGAUCGCAGUCUGCAACUCGACUGCGUGAAGUCGGAAUCGCUAGUAAUCGUGGAUCAGAAUGCCGCGGUGAAUACGUUCCCGGGCCUUGUACACACCGCCCGUCACACCAUGGGAGUGGGUUGCACCAGAAGUAGCUAGUCUAACCUUCGGGAGGACGGUUACCACGGUGUGAUUCAUGACUGGGGUGAAGUCG